Long non-coding RNA from Etheostoma cragini (Arkansas darter), 106 nucleotides. RefSeq lists it as uncharacterized. The transcript is spliced from 3 exons. NCBI's taxonomy places the organism in Eukaryota, Metazoa, Chordata, Actinopteri, Perciformes, Percidae. The record is from RefSeq and is a predicted model, not a curated record.
ACUUUUGAAAAUAUUUCCAGGUCAGGGUUCAAAGUAGGCACCAACCCACCAGCUAAAUGCUUGUUAAAUAUGCAAUUGGCUGGUUGAUUUGCGUCACUCACCAGCC